ACGUAAAUUAGUAAAUAAUGUAAUUUUACAUUAUAAUGAGAAUUAAAGUAUUAGUAAUUUAUUUUUGUUACUAAAAUUAAAUUCAGUUUGUUCCUGCAUAAAUCUUUUUAGUACUAAACUGCUUUGGAAUGAAUUUUUCUGGGGGACAACAGCAGGAUUAGGGCCGUCUUCUAGAUGCCAUCAGGUAGGUGCGCUAGCGUAGUCGUUUGUUGUAGCAUUAUAUCCCUUUUCCCCCUUUUUAAAAAAUGUUUGUAAGACGCCUGGAAUUUGUAUAAGUUAGUUAUAUAAGUAGUUGAAUAAGAAUUGGUGAGACAUGGAAAGUAGAACAGGACAGAGAAGAUGAAAGAGGAUUGCUUUGAAAUAGAAGGAAAGGAGAUAGAAGAGGUUUGAGGAAAGGAGGAGGAUUUUGUUCGCUGUAACGGAAGUUUUUUGAAUGAAAUUUGGAGCAACUGUAUUAAGGUGUUAUUGGUAUCUUGGACGUCAAGUUUCAUUUAUUUAUGUAUUAUACAAGCAUAUCUAUUGGUGGAAAUGUAGAAUGGCAGCUGUUAUAACAACUUGGAUGAAUUAUUAGAAACACCAAAGAAGUUUUGGCAUAAUUUAAACUGGGAAAAAGCUCACAGAUGAUCAAUUUAUUCUACAGUAGAUACAGGACAUUAAAUUGACUUCAACAACGCAGAUAUCGCUCAAAAAUGAUAUCUGUUCGAGUGAUGUACUGGGCGUUGACAGUUGCUGUUACAAAUCUGCAAAUGAGUUAGAACUGUACAUAAGUUUGAUGAAUGCUGGAGGAAUUUUUUGAAUAAAAUGAUACUGAAAAUCUUACCCACAAAUGACAAUUUCAAGAUACAAUCCGGAAAAUGUAAGCAAUACAAAUUGGUAUUAAUAAGGUAUUAAUGGACGUUUUGACAGCUGUUUCCAGUCCAAGUUCCAGUUUUAAUGGAAAAUCUUUAAUAGACACAGAAAAAUGACAUUCACUGGAUUGACUUCAACACCUGUUGCCUUUUAAUAAUGGUAUACAAUGGGACAAUCGCUGUUAGAAGUCAACAAGUAGUACUAAUUGCAAAUAAUAUAUUAUGGCGGACAUCAAAAAGCUUUAAAUGGAAUGAAACUUGCAGAAAAAGACUCAGAAAGUCCAUUUAGGGCGCAGAAAAAGACUCAGAAAGUCCAUUUAGAACUGUACUUAAUAGCUGUUAGAGUGGAUGCAGUCCUUCAUCAAUGUGAGCUGAAGAAAUUGAUAACGGACAUUUUGACAGCUACUGUCACAACUCAACGAACAAGUUGCAGCUUUGAAGGAACAUAUUUGAUUGGAUACAGAAAAAUGCCAGUCGUUUCAGGAUGUAAAGUUAAUAGAACCAGGGUUGGGCUCGACAUCUCUUACCUUUUAAUAAUGGCAUACGAUAGGACAAUGGCUAUUAGAACCCGAUAAGACAUACUAGCUGCAAAUAAUAUGUAUGGUGGUCAUAAAAGAGAUUUAAAUGAAAUGAGAGAGAGAAGCUCUUGUGGCAGAAGAAAUCAAGGAAAACCAUUUUGAACUGCUGUUACUUAAUAGCUGUUAGAGGGGAUCCAGUUCUUCAUCAAUGGUAUAAGAUGGGAUAAUUGGCUGUUAAAAAUCCACAAGCUGUACUAUCUGCAAAUAUUAUGGUGGACAUCAAAAAGCUUUAAAUGGAAUGAAAUUUGCAGGGAAAGACUGAGAAAGACCAUUGAGGACUGUACUUAAUAGCUGUUAGUGUGGUCGCAGUCCUUCAUCACUGAUAUCUCUGCAUUUUCUUAACAAUGGAUAUCUCAACAGUUGCUCCUACUCCUCACUUUCCUCUUUCACUCAACAUAAAACAGACUCAAUACUCCUCAAUGCCUCACCAAGGUUCGUUAGCUUCAUUAAUAGUGUUAUUGUUUCAAUAAAUUUGUUUACUGGUUUUUAUCCUCUUCUUAACUAUUUAAGUAUAUCAGGCGUCAUAUUAGUGUUAUUGAUUUUUUGUAAAAUUUUGAUAAUCUGGA
This 1992-nucleotide long non-coding RNA is filed under the name Sitophilus oryzae (rice weevil). Its description in RNAcentral is "uncharacterized LOC115882884, transcript variant X2". The record is from RNAcentral. Lineage: Eukaryota; Metazoa; Arthropoda; Insecta; Coleoptera; Curculionidae.